CCUACGGGAGGCAGCAGUAAGGAAUAUUGGUCAAUGGACGCAAGUCUGAACCAGCCAUGCCGCGUGGAGGAUGAAGGCCCUCUGGGUUGUAAACUUCUUUUAUCUGGGACGAAAAAAGGUUUUUCUAAAUCGUCUGACGGUACCAGAUGAAUAAGCACCGGCUAACUCCGUGCCAGCAGCCGCGGUAAUACGGAGGGUGCAAGCGUUAUCCGGAUUCACUGGGUUUAAAGGGUGCGUAGGCGGGCAGGUAAGUCAGUGGUGAAAUCCUUGAGCUUAACUCGAGAACUGCCAUUGAUACUAUCUGUCUUGAAUAUUGUGGAGGUGAGCGGAAUAUGUCAUGUAGCGGUGAAAUGCUUAGAUAUGACAUAGAACACCCAUUGCGAAGGCAGCUCACUACGCAUAUAUUGACGCUGAUGCACGAAAGCGUGGGGAUCAAACAGGAUUAGAUACCCUGGUAGUCCACGCCCUAAACGAUGAUUACUCGACAUACGCGAUACACUGUGUGUGUCUGAGCGAAAGCAUUAAGUAAUCCACCCUGGAAGUACGAUCGCAAGAUUGAAACUCAAAUUGAAUUGACGG
This 579-nucleotide ribosomal RNA is filed under the name uncultured bacterium. RNAcentral describes it as "bacterial SSU rRNA". It matches the Rfam family "Bacterial small subunit ribosomal RNA", at positions 338 to 916 of the family's 1533-position model. The record is from RNAcentral.